UUAGUUUUGAAGUGGUGGGUUUGAAAGUUGGUAAUUAUAAUACCCCUUCGGUGAGUAGAGUAGUUGCGAUGGUUUGAAAGAACAGGGUUACGACAUGAAUCGAUGCGAUAUUACUCAUAGGGUGUGUGAAUAAAUUGAAGGGUGUUGAGUCGUUACCAUAUAUAAUGUGACUUUAAAUAUAAAUAUUCAAAUAAAACGUAUGUUCUUGAGGAGGAAGAUACGUAAGAACUUAUUGUAUAUAAUGUGAUUUACGUUGGUUAUAUUUUGUGUGAACUUAACGCAAAUGCUAUUUACAUUGGUUAUAUUGUGUUGCAAAUUGUAAUCAUAAUAUGACUUUAAAUCUAAAUAUUCACCAAAUUAGAUUUUGUUGAACAAAAUCUACAUAUUCAAAUUAUCGACGCGACUUUUAAACGAAGAGGUAGAAACUUACCCAUAGAAUUUUUAACCAACGCGACUUUUAAACGAAUGGGGUACAAACCUCAAGUUGGUAAGGGGUAUGAAAUAUUUAAAAGUAGUUUGAAGGGUCGUGACUUUUUCUAAGGGGUGAUGUACAUAAAAGUAGUUUGAAAGAUUGUGACUUUUUGAAGGAGUGUGAUGGGUUGUGACUUUUUGUAAAUAUAUGAAGGGUUGUGACUUUUUGUAAGGGUGUGAUAUAUAUAAAAGUAGUUUGAAGGGUUGUGACUUUUUAAAGGGGUGUGAUCCAAGCCAAGGGCGGAUGUAGAAGGGUUUUACGGGUUCCCAGGAACCCAGUCGAUUUGGAAAAAAAAAAACGUUUUUUUUAGUGUAAACUUUGUAUGAUUUGUAAAAAAUUAGUGUAAACCUUGUAUGAUUUGGUAAAAGGAACCCAGUGAAAAAACUGGUUGAAUCCGCCACUGAUCCAAGCCAUUAUGUCUUUGAAAGGGUUUAUAUAUGCAUUUAAUAUAAGUUACGUUUUUUACUUAUUGCAACUCAUUGUAUUACCAUCUACGUGA
Molecule: long non-coding RNA, 971 nt
Filed under: Helianthus annuus (common sunflower)
Lineage: Eukaryota; Viridiplantae; Streptophyta; Magnoliopsida; Asterales; Asteraceae
Description: hypothetical non coding rna
Source: RNAcentral